This 211-nucleotide ribosomal RNA is filed under the name Salmonella enterica. RNAcentral's name for it is "partial 23S ribosomal RNA". It matches the Rfam family "Bacterial large subunit ribosomal RNA", at positions 1452 to 1665 of the family's 2925-position model. RNAcentral also lists the same sequence under 2 other names. The record is from RNAcentral. Lineage: Bacteria; Pseudomonadati; Pseudomonadota; Gammaproteobacteria; Enterobacterales; Enterobacteriaceae.
UACUGCGAAGGGGGGACGGAGAAGGCUAUGUUGGCCGGGCGACGGUUGUCCCGGUUUAAGCGUGUAGGCUGGUUUUCCAGGCAAAUCCGGAAAAUCAAGGCUGAGGCGUGACGACGAGGCACUACGGUGCUGAAGCAACAAAUGCCCUGCUUCCAGGAAAAGCCUCUAAGCAUCAGGUAACAUCAAAUCGUACCCCAAACCGACACAGGUG